This 479-nucleotide ribosomal RNA is filed under the name Cromileptes altivelis (humpback grouper). Its description in RNAcentral is "partial small subunit ribosomal RNA". It matches the Rfam family "Bacterial small subunit ribosomal RNA", at positions 788 to 1491 of the family's 1533-position model. The record is from RNAcentral. Lineage: Eukaryota; Metazoa; Chordata; Actinopteri; Perciformes; Serranidae.
CACUAUGCUUUGCCCUAAACAUAGAUAGUCUUAUACAACCACUAUCCGCCCGGGAACUACGAGCAGCAGCUUAAAACCCAAAGGACUUGGCGGUGCUUUAGACCCACCUAGAGGAGCCUGUUCUAAAACCGAUAACCCCCGUUCAACCUCACCUUUCCUUGUUCUCCCCGCCUAUAUACCGCCGUCGUCAGCUUACCCUAUGAAGGCCCCUCAGUAAGCACAAUUGGUACCACCCAAAACGUCAGGUCGAGGUGUAGCGUAUGGAAAGGGAAGAAAUGGGCUACAUUCCCUGUUACAGGGAAUUACGGACAAUAUUACUGAAACGUAUAUCUAGAAGGAGGAUUUAGCAGUAAGCAGAAAAUAGAGCGUUCUGCUGAAGCCGGCCCUGAAGCGCGCACACACCGCCCGUCACUCUCCCCAAGCGAAUCUUCACAUCCUAACUUAAAACCUUUCAUCAGCAAAGGGGAGGCAAGUCGUAA